GAUGAACGCUGGCGGCGUGCCUAACACAUGCAAGUCGAGCGUGAACCCUGCGAAUGAAACUUCGGUCGAUUUUGCAGGGGGAAAGCGGCGGACGGGUGAGUAACGCGUAGGUAACCUGCCCCAUACUGAGGGAUAGCCUCGGGAAACCGGGAUUAAUACCUCAUAACACCGUAUAUUCGCAUGGAUGUGCGGUCAAAGAUUUAUCGGUAUGGGAUGGGCCUGCGUCUGAUUAGCUGGUUGGUGGGUAACGGCCUACCAAGGCGACGAUCAGUAGCCGACCUGAGAGGGUGAUCGGCCACAUUGGAACUGAGACACGGUCCAAACUCCUACGGGAGGCAGCAGUGGGGAAUAUUGCACAAUGGGCGAAAGCCUGAUGCAGCAACGCCGCGUGAGCGAAGAAGGCCUUUGGGGUCGUAAAGGCUCUGUCGGGUAGGAAGAUAAUGACGGUACUACCCGAGGAAGCCCCGGCUAACUACGUG
Molecule: ribosomal RNA, 479 nt
Filed under: uncultured bacterium
Lineage: Bacteria
Description: bacterial SSU rRNA
Rfam family: Bacterial small subunit ribosomal RNA
Source: RNAcentral